Long non-coding RNA from Portunus trituberculatus (swimming crab), 374 nucleotides. RefSeq lists it as uncharacterized. The record is from RefSeq and is a predicted model, not a curated record. The transcript has 2 exons. Lineage: Eukaryota; Metazoa; Arthropoda; Malacostraca; Decapoda; Portunidae.
GUUUAACUGAAAGGAUGGAUACAAGUGACAGGCUUGUGCUACAUAUCGCGUGCCUCACUCAGUCAGCUGUGAGAGCCUGUUCUUAUACGCCAGUGCUGAGUAACAAUAAGAAGCGGAGGUGCGAACGAAACCAAGACGCCAUUAUGUGAAUUCAGCAGCUCUACGGAAUGUGACGGACACGUUGUUUGGUCGCGUCUCCCACAGCGUAGCCUCCGAGUGGUCGGCUCAGGCACCGCCCACCACAAGAAACCUGUGCCUAAACAGAGAAACUCUAUGAGAUGUAGAGGACUUGGCUGCGCUGAAAUAUCCGACGAACUUAAAUGAAUGGAUGACAAAAUAAUACCAAUAUUGUUAGAAUAUACGAGGAAUAACAA